Long non-coding RNA from Nerophis ophidion (straightnose pipefish), 625 nucleotides. RefSeq lists it as uncharacterized. The transcript is spliced from 3 exons. The record is from RefSeq and is a predicted model, not a curated record. NCBI's taxonomy places the organism in Eukaryota, Metazoa, Chordata, Actinopteri, Syngnathiformes, Syngnathidae.
ACGGUAGCUAGAUGGAUUUUAAUAUCAGUGGUGUGAUUUACAUUGUGUUUGUGUCUGUUUGCGUGCGUGUGUGCUGUAGGUUUUGAAGGAUGUCAAUGAAAAGAAAACUGGAUAUAAGAGACUUCUUUAGGAGUCAAACUUAGACCCUGAUGUUGUACUCCAGCGUGGAGCAGUAGGCGUCGGAGAAGAGCACCAGUCUCAGACGCUUGGCAGCGCCCAUGUGCAGCGACUCUCCCACCAGGGCAAAGGUGCCCAGCUGCUCGGAAAACAGCUGACACGUCUCAGCCUCCAGCUGGCAGUAAUAAGGAUCUGACGCCAGCUCCUCCCCCAUCAGCAAGACGUCCUGGAAAGAGGCGCAGGGAAGAGGGCAUGAAACUUAGGGGGCCGCGGGGGGCGCUGGCGCCUAUCUCAGCUACAAUCGGACGGAAGGCGGGGUACACCCUGGACAAGUCGCCACCUCAUCACAGGGCCAACACAGAUAGACAGACAACAUUCACACUCACAUUCACACACUAGGGCCAAUUUAGUGUUGCCAAUCAACCUAUCCCCAGGUGCAUGUCUUUGGAAGUGGGAGGAAGCCGGAGUGUUUCACAAAAGAGAAACUGGAAAUUGUGAUGUAUAAUGU